UCUAUUACCUGCAUCAAGGCUCAAAUCCAAUCCCCACAAAUUAAAUCAGAAUUCACCAAGCCACCAAUCGAGUUGCUCACCGCCAAAACCAAGCUCACACGCACAUCCAAUCAAAGCCUUCAGCCAUUCAAUUCGAGAUUGUCACUAAAAGAAUCAAAGGGCCGCGAGAUGAGGCGCGAUGGUGUCUGGUGUGGGCGGCGUGGUUCUUGACGGCUGACCGCGGGCAAGGAGCCGGGGAGGCCCUCUUCACCUUGCCGCGCUGCACCUCGCUUGCUCCUGCGGCGGCGAGGCUAGUCCAUCUCGCCUUCACCACCACCGUCUGGGGUUCUGGCCUCUGAAUCACUUCACCGGCAACAUCGUCAUGUUCAACGUAAGCAACAUCGCCGCUUGUGUUCGCCCCGUUGAUUCGCUAGUCUAACCUGGUAGCAACGACAUCAAGCAAUGUGUUUACGUGUGCAUGUCCUGGUUACUCGAGCAAUGGCUGGGAGGGAAGUUAGAGGAAAGCUAUCACUAGUGCCUGAUUCUAGAACAGAGGAGAUAGAGAAAGAUUGGAGAAAUGGAGAUGGUGGAUGGU
This 574-nucleotide long non-coding RNA is filed under the name Setaria viridis. RNAcentral describes it as "long non-coding RNA (SVIR_LNC003580)". The record is from RNAcentral. Lineage: Eukaryota; Viridiplantae; Streptophyta; Magnoliopsida; Poales; Poaceae.